Long non-coding RNA from Humulus lupulus (European hop), 135 nucleotides. RefSeq lists it as uncharacterized. The record is from RefSeq and is a predicted model, not a curated record. The transcript is spliced from 2 exons. NCBI's taxonomy places the organism in Eukaryota, Viridiplantae, Streptophyta, Magnoliopsida, Rosales, Cannabaceae.
GUUGCCACCACAAUCAGCGUCUUCCCAUAUUCUCUCGAAUUACUCACAUCUCUAAUCAACUAAUACCAGGUUGUGGAUCGAAUUGGCAAGGAGCAUUGCAAAGUUAAUUAAGUUGAUUAUUAAUUGCAAGAGGUA